GUGGUUGUAGCUCAGUGGUGGAGCACUUGCCUCUCACGUCUGAGGCACUGGGUUCAAUCCUCAGCACCACA
RNAcentral lists this transfer RNA (71 nucleotides) under Marmota marmota marmota (Alpine marmot). It matches the Rfam family "tRNA". From Rfam's summary of the family: Transfer RNA (tRNA) molecules are approximately 80 nucleotides in length. Their secondary structure includes four short double-helical elements and three loops (D, anti-codon, and T loops). Further hydrogen bonds mediate the characteristic L-shaped molecular structure. tRNAs have two regions of fundamental functional importance: the anti-codon, which is responsible for specific mRNA codon recognition, and the 3' end, to which the tRNAs corresponding amino acid is attached (by aminoacyl-tRNA synthetases). tRNAs cope with the degeneracy of the genetic code in two manners: having more than one tRNA (with a specific anti-codon) for a particular amino acid; and 'wobble' base-pairing, i.e. permitting non-standard base-pairing at the 3rd anti-codon position. The record is from Rfam by way of RNAcentral. RNAcentral also lists the same sequence under 1 other name. Lineage: Eukaryota; Metazoa; Chordata; Mammalia; Rodentia; Sciuridae.